AGGGUGUAAACGCUGCAGACUUGGUGUUGGAAGCCCUUUGGGGGCAUUCAGUGCCGGAGAGAAGUUGUUAAGUCUGCUACUUGGGGAGUACGUCCGCAAGGAUGAGACUUAAAGGAAUUGGCGGGGGAGCACCGCAACGGGAGGAGCGUGCGGUUUAAUUGGAUUCAACACCGUAAAACUCACCAGGGAAGACUGUUACAUGAAGGCCGAGAUGAAGACUCUGCUAGAUUUUCAGAGAGGAGGUGCAUGGCGUCAGUGACU
Molecule: ribosomal RNA, 261 nt
Filed under: uncultured archaeon
Lineage: Archaea
Description: partial 16S ribosomal RNA
Rfam family: Archaeal small subunit ribosomal RNA
Source: RNAcentral